UACGUAGGGGGCGAGCGUUGUCCGGAUUUAUUGGGCGUAAAGAGCUCGUAGGCGGUUCGGUAAGUCGGAUGUGAAAUCUCCACGCUCAACGUGGAGGGGCCAUUCGAUACUGCCGUGACUCGAGUCCGGUAGGGGAGUGUGGAAUUCCCGGUGUAGCGGUGAAAUGCGUAGAGAUUGGGAAGAACAUCGGUGGCGAAAGCGCUCUACUGGACCUCAUCUGACACUCAGGGACGAAAGCUAGGGGAGCGAAUGGG
Molecule: ribosomal RNA, 254 nt
Filed under: uncultured bacterium
Lineage: Bacteria
Description: partial 16S ribosomal RNA
Rfam family: Bacterial small subunit ribosomal RNA
Source: RNAcentral